RNAcentral lists this ribosomal RNA (1440 nucleotides) under uncultured bacterium. RNAcentral's name for it is "bacterial SSU rRNA". It matches the Rfam family "Bacterial small subunit ribosomal RNA". The record is from RNAcentral.
AGAGUUUGAUCCUGGCUCAGAACGUACGCUGGCGGCACGCCUAACACAUGCAAGUCGAACGAAGUAGCAAUACUUAGUGGCAGACGGGUGAGUAACAUGUAGGUAUCUGCCCUUUGGCCUGGAAUAACACGAGGAAACUUGUGCUAAUACCGGAUAAGUCUUUACGGAGAAAGCUUUAUGCACCAUUGGAUGAGCCUGCACUUGAUUAGUUUGUUGGUGGGGUAAUGGCCUACCAAGACUGUGAUCAAUAGCUGAUUUGAGAGGAUGAUCAGCCACAUUGGGACUGAGACACGGCCCAAACUCCUACGGGAGGCAGCAGUGGGGAAUCUUGCACAAUGGAGGAAACUCUGAUGCAGCGAUGCCGCGUGAGUGAAGAAGGCCCUUGGGUUGUAAAGCUCUUUCGUCGGGGAAGAAAAUGACUGUACCCGAAUAAGAAGGUCCGGCUAACUUCGUGCCAGCAGCCGCGGUAAUACGAAGGGACCUAGCGUAGUUCGGAAUUACUGGGCUUAAAGAGUUCGUAGGUGGUUGAAAAAGUUAGUGGUGAAAUCCCAGAGCUUAACUCUGGAACUGCCAUUAAAACUUUUCAGCUAGAGUAUGAUAGAGGAAAGCAGAAUUUCUAGUGUAGAGGUGAAAUUCGUAGAUAUUAGAAAGAAUACCAAUUGCGAAGGCAGCUUUCUGGAUCAUUACUGACACUGAGGAACGAAAGCAUGGGUAGCGAAGAGGAUUAGAUACCCUCGUAGUCCAUGCCGUAAACGAUGUGUGUUAGACGUUGGAAAUUUAUUUUCAGUGUCGCAGGGAAACCGAUAAACACACCGCCUGGGGAGUACGACCGCAAGGUUAAAACUCAAAUGAAUUGACGGGGACCCGCACAAGUAGUGGAGCAUGUGGUUUAAUUCGAAGAUACGCGCAGAACCUUACCAACACUUGACAUGUUCGUCGCGACUCUAAGAGAUUAGAGUUUUCGGUUCGGCCGGACGAAACACAGGUGCUGCAUGGCUGUCGUCAGCUCGUGUCGUGAGAUGUUGGGUUAAGUCCCGCAACGAGCGCAACCCUCACUUUUAGUUGCCAUCAUUAAGUUGGGCACUCUGAAAGAACUGCCAGUGAUAAGCUGGAGGAAGGUGGGGAUGACGUCAAGUCCUCAUGGCCCUUACGUGUUGGGCUACACACGUGCUACAAUGGUAUCUACAACAGGAAGCAAAACUGCGAAGUUAAGCAAAUCCCUAAAAGAUACCUCAGUUCGGAUUGCACUCUGCAACUCGAGUGCAUGAAGCUGGAAUUACUAGUAAUCGUGGAUCAGCGUGCCACGGUGAAUGCGUUCCCGGGUCUUGUACACACCGCCCGUCACACCAUGGGAGUUGGUUCUACCUUAAGGCAAGGUUUCAAACCCUUGACCACGGUAUAGUCAGCGACUGGGGUGAAGUCGUAACAAAGGUAACCGUA